ACGGAUCAUCUAGAUCUGGGUAGC
This 24-nucleotide non-coding RNA is filed under the name Arabidopsis thaliana (thale cress). The record is from RNAcentral. Lineage: Eukaryota; Viridiplantae; Streptophyta; Magnoliopsida; Brassicales; Brassicaceae.